Molecule: long non-coding RNA, 454 nt
Filed under: Brassica napus (rape)
Lineage: Eukaryota; Viridiplantae; Streptophyta; Magnoliopsida; Brassicales; Brassicaceae
Description: long non-coding RNA (BNAP_LNC024562)
Source: RNAcentral
UCCCUUUCUUAUUAUUUGAGGAGCAUUUUUAUUAAUUAACCUCAUUCUCAUGUGUGAUUAACACAAUUGCCAUUACUUAGGUGUCAUCAUGAUAACUCUCCUCACACUAUUUUUUAAAAAAGCCUUCAUUGCCUAGAUAAAUUACAUGUAAUGCCAUUGGACAUUAUUUCAUAUAUUUUGCACAUUAAACUUUUAAUGAAAGUUUGUUACAUUACAACAAAUGGUGUUAUUAUGAUGUACAGACUAGGAAGUAUUGUUUUUAGAAACAAAUCAUAUGAAUAUGCAACUUCUAUGUCUAUAUGAAAGGCUAGAAAAUUGAUCCAUGUAUUUUAUAUUUAGUAUUUAACGUUUUAUAUUAUAAAUCUAAAAAUUAUAUUUACUUUGUAGCUACAUCUAUAUGAAUAUGUAGAGUCUGAUUGGUAAUGGCUGUACCUUUAAAAUUUUUGUUGUAGAA